AUUGAACGCUGGCGGCAGGCUUAACACAUGCAAGUCGAGCGGGGUGAUGGUGCUUGCACUAUCACUUAGCGGCGGACGGGUGAGUAAUGCUUAGGAAUCUGCCUAUUAGUGGGGGAUAACAUUGCGAAAGGGAUGCUAAUACCGCAUACGUUCUACGGGAGAAUGCAGGGGAUCACUUGCGACCUUGCGCUAUUAGAUGCGCCUAAGUCGGAGUAGCUAGUUGGUGGGGUAAAGGCCUACCAAGGCGACGAUCUGUAGCGGGUCUGCGAGGAUGAUCCGCCACACUGGGACUGAGACACGGCCCAGACUCCUACGGGAGGCAGCAGUGGGGAAUAUUGGACAAUGGGGGGAACCCUGAUCCAGCCAUGCCGCGUGUGUGAAGAAGGCCUUAUGGUUGUAAAGCACUUUAAGCGAGGAGGAGGCUCUUUUGGUUAAUACCCAAGAUGAGUGGACGUUACUCGCAGAAUAAGCACCAGCUAACUCUGUGCCAGCAGCCGCGGUAA
RNAcentral lists this ribosomal RNA (503 nucleotides) under uncultured bacterium. RNAcentral's name for it is "partial 16S ribosomal RNA". It matches the Rfam family "Bacterial small subunit ribosomal RNA", at positions 30 to 523 of the family's 1533-position model. The record is from RNAcentral.